UACGGGAGGCAGCAGGUGGGGAAUAUUGCACAAUGGGCGAAAGCCUGAUGCAGCUAUGCCGCGUGUAUGAAGAAGGCCUUAGGGUUGUAAAGUACUUUCAUCGGGGAGGAAAAAACAAAACUAAUAAUUUUAUUUCUUGACGUUACCCGAAAAAGAAGCACCGGCUAACUCCGUGCCAGCAGCCGCGGUAAUACGGAGGGUGCUAGCGUUAAUCAGAAUUACUGGGCGUAAAGAGCACGUAGGUGGUUUUUUUAAGUCAGAUGUGAAAUCCCUGGGCUUAACCUAGGAACUGCAUUUUGAAACUGAAAUACUAGAGUAUCGUAGAGGGAGGUAGAAUUCUAGGUGUAGCGGUGAAAUGCGUAGAUAUCUGGAGGAAUACCUGUGGCGAAAGCGGCCUCCUAAACGAAUACUGACACUGAGGUGCGAAAGCGUGGGGAGCGAAACGAGGGAUUAGAUACC
Molecule: ribosomal RNA, 459 nt
Filed under: uncultured bacterium
Lineage: Bacteria
Description: bacterial SSU rRNA
Rfam family: Bacterial small subunit ribosomal RNA
Source: RNAcentral